GGGGCUGUGGCGGAAUGGCAGACGCGAAAGUCUUAAAAACUUUUGCCCUUCGGGCGUGUGGGUUCGAGUCCCACCAGCCUCA
Molecule: transfer RNA, 82 nt
Filed under: Chloroflexota bacterium
Lineage: Bacteria; Bacillati; Chloroflexota
Description: Chloroflexi bacterium tRNA-Leu
Rfam family: tRNA
About the family: Transfer RNA (tRNA) molecules are approximately 80 nucleotides in length.
Source: RNAcentral